Long non-coding RNA from Gossypium arboreum, 561 nucleotides. RefSeq lists it as uncharacterized. The transcript has 2 exons. The record is from RefSeq and is a predicted model, not a curated record. Lineage: Eukaryota; Viridiplantae; Streptophyta; Magnoliopsida; Malvales; Malvaceae.
UUAUAGCCUCUCACGUCUGUUCUUGUUCCUUUCGUUGCUGCUGAUGCUUUCAAAUUCUUGUGUUCCAUAUUCCAAUUUUUCAAGUAUUUUUUAAUCUGUUUUGGGUUUUUUUUAGUUGGUUUUCAAUCCAUAAAGGUAAGGUUGAUCGCUUUUACUCGAUUUUGUUGUUGCAAGUGUUCGUUAAGCAUGUGCGUUGGUUGAAUUUCAGGUUUAUGGUACAAAGGGUGUAUUUUGGAUUAACUAAUUAAUUCAGUUCGUUUUAGGGGAUUUUCAUGAGACGAUUGGCGAUCUUCCAACGACCUAAAUUUCGUGUUAUUGUUGUACGUUAAAUGGUAAUCCUCACACUUUGGCGGGUCAGUGCAAACGGGAGCUCAGUUAAUGUAAUAACCUAUUUAAAUUGAUUUAUCUAAAAUUUGGUAUUUUGGUUCUAUAAAUUUUUGGACCCUCUAAACUUUUUAGACGGUUUAGAUUUUUAAACUUUAUUUCCAUAUUUUGCUUUACUACUCAAAUGUUUUAGUUGACAAAAUUCGCUUCUCUAUAAAAUUAAAUGCUUUCAAACAA